This is a long non-coding RNA of Mesocricetus auratus (golden hamster), 2719 nucleotides long. RefSeq lists it as uncharacterized. NCBI's taxonomy places the organism in Eukaryota, Metazoa, Chordata, Mammalia, Rodentia, Cricetidae. The transcript has 3 exons. The record is from RefSeq and is a predicted model, not a curated record.
GGAGACCAAAGCAGUGGGUGUCUAGUAACCCUUAGAAAACCAACUGAUUUUUAUGUCAAGUACAUCAUUUGGUUAGAUUGAUUAGCCACCAAAACUAGUGACAUCUCUCAAAGAUCCCUGGAAAAUCAUGAAGGUGUUUUUUCCCUUUCACUGGAAGAAGGCUUAGAAAUGGUGCUGAUUAUCUGAAGUACUAUAAUGAGACACUUGGGAAAUACUGUCAAACAGAAAGAGGUUUACAGUCUCCCCUGUGUCACAUUUGUAUGAGUAAAUGUUAAUUAGAAUUAAUUGGAAGAAUUUUAAAAUUGUAUUCUGUCUGGGAAGGAUGAAGAUGAUGCCCGUUUGUAAUCAGGGGAGAGUCAGCCAGCAUCUGAUGGAAGCAGAUGCAGAAGAUGCAGUUACCAUGCCCAAACACUAGGCGGAGCUAGGGGAAUCCCGCAGAAGAGGGCAUGAGGACACAACCUACAGAAUAAACAAAUGGAAACCAGCAGAAAAACGAACCAUUCGGAAGACAGAAUGGUGGAGCUGAGUCCUAACAGAUGCAUCUACAAUACUCUUGCACCAAACUCGGGAAAUACUGCAGAGGAGGAGAUGGUCAGAGGACCAGGGAGUUUGCUGUGAGACCGUGCCUUCUGGUACUGUCAAAAGCUAUAGACUAUUGCCUAUAGAUUGCUACAAUGUGACUGCCUAAGCACGAGCUGAGCAAGGACGACACAAAUAGACAUUGGGAAGUGGACGGGGGAAAGUCAAUGAGGCCUCCACCCUCACACAAAGAACAACAGGCACUAAGGGAUUCUGAGAUUGGGAAAAAAUGAUCUUCCCCAGUGAACAUCACACCAAUUGGUUAUUCAUCACUAACUUCGUUUACGAUUUCAAAACCCUACUACAUCCAUUUAGUGCUUCCAACCCAUGCAUGGUUUGUGUCAUCCAUUGGAACACUGAUAGUCUUUAGGUCUGACAUUUACUUCUUUCACUAAUCUGUAUUACGGCAUAGUGAAUAUUGCAAAAUGUUUAUGCCCUACAUCUACUCAUACAACUGUGAGUUACAUAUUCUUCCAACCUGUCUUUUCAUGAUCUCCAACAAGAAUUUUCAUCGAUUUCAAGAGAUUUGAGAACAAUUGUUCUUGAUUUCAUUGGAAGAGACCUUACUAGGUGCUGUUAACAAUAAAUCCAGCAGUAAAAUUCUAGUGAGUCAUUGCUUGGGGAAUUUCAGAAUUCUAUCAAAUUGGAAAAGUACUGUAAUCAGGCUCUUCUCACAGAAGACCAUUCAGCCCAUGACGUAGCUGAUCUUGAAUGUAAACGCUGACCCAAGACUUUUGAAAUAACUCAUAACUUUAGAAUGUGAGCAACUUUCACCAAACAUGUUUUGCCGAGACUUCUAUGCUUAAUUUUCUCUUUUUAAAAAUUGCUUGCUAGUAAUCAUUCUUUUAAUUUUCUUUAUGUCUCUGGUCAGUUCUAGUCUCAUCAAAUAAGACCACAGGAAUUAUAGUGCAUGAUGUUUCCACAGGAAAGUGACCUUCAGCAAAUCACCCUAUGACUAAGUAGUUGUCAUUUUUUUCCUGGAAGAAGAAUUAAUUAUUCUAAUAUGUUAACCAGGGACUAAGCUAUUUAAAAUUUUAUUUUAAUAACAUUUAGAGCAAUGGGCCAUAUAUUCACCACCUGGAAUAGAUUAAUAGUGAUACGAGUAUGUUAUCCAGUUAGGAAAUUUAAUUCCACAGCAGUGCUUUCUAACGUCUGUGGGUUUUAUCUACCAACCUCUUGGAAUUCCUUAGGCUUGUGGUUACCAAAUUUGUUUCAACAAAUUUUACACUUUGCUAUUGACUUUUCAUGUCAGCAUUAGUUUUUUUCUUGAUUCUUUUUAAAAUUAUUUAUCUGAAAGCUUUUUUUUUCAAUUUUACAUACCAACCACAGUUACACCUCCCUCCCUUUCUCCUGCUUCCCCUAAACCUUACCACCACCCAAACUCCCAUCCACUCAUCAGAAAGUUUAAAGCAUCCCUUGGGAAGUCAACAAAUUCUGGCAUAUCAAGUUGAGGCAGAACCAAGCCCCUUCUCCCCUGUAUCUAGGCUGAGCAAGGCAUCCCACCAUAGAGAAUAGGCUCUGAAAAGUCAGUUCAUGCACUAGGGAUAAAUCCUGAUCCCUCUGCCAAUGGCCCCACAGACUGCUCAAACUACAGAACUAUCACCCACAUUUAGGGGGCAUAGGUGAGUCCUAGGCAGACUCCCCAGCUGUUAGUCUAGAUUCCGUGAGCUCCCCCCACACGCUCAGGUCAGCAGUCUCUGUGGGUUUCCCCAUCAUGACCUUGACCCCUUUGCUCAUAUAAUCUCUCUUCAGUCUCUUUGACUGGACUCCAGGAGCUUGCCCCAGUACUUAUCUGUGGAUCUCUGUAUCUGCUUCAGUAAGUUACUGGACACUACAGCAUUCUUUUGAAGGCAUCUAUAUCUAUUCAGAAUUAUAAAAAAAAGACCUUUGCUGUCACUGCUCAUCAGAUGACUCAAUUUAUCAGAAUCAUUUUCAUGGUGUGAAGGAGAUUUACGAUUGCCUUUCAACUGUUCAGUAACAACUAAAUCCAUUCAUCUUGAACAGAAGGCAUACUAAUGGUGUUGAACUUUUCCUGAGCUCUGUAUUCAAGGAAAACAGUGAUGAUUAAGAAGCACACACACCAUUUCACUUUAAGAAAAGACUUUAAUUUAACCCUGCAUGCCAUAAAAUUUAAUUAAGA